Syngnathus typhle (broad-nosed pipefish) is the source of this 487-nucleotide long non-coding RNA. RefSeq lists it as uncharacterized. The record is from RefSeq and is a predicted model, not a curated record. Lineage: Eukaryota; Metazoa; Chordata; Actinopteri; Syngnathiformes; Syngnathidae. The transcript is spliced from 4 exons.
AGGGAGCAUGUACGCGUCACGACGUGAACAUUACAUUCAUUGCGGUGCUGCCGUGCCGUGAAUGUUGGCCUCUGUCGACGAUUAUCCAGACAUCCCCAACGUCAAAGCAGCAGUACCUUUUCCUCAGCAUCUUUAUUUUCCACUGGGCUUUGUGGACAGGAAUGUCUUUCGACAUGUUCCAACUUUAAACUGUUCAUUUUACCUGUAGAUAAUUGCAUGAUUGUGUAUUGUGCUAAAAGAAUGUCCCGCACGGCUACCGUAGCUGAGACGAAGAAGCUGCUCUCGCUCCCCGGAUGUAACGCAACCAAGUGAUAUAUUUUGUUCUCUGAAUCCUCGUUCACGACAAACAGGAACCCGACGACAUUGAGCAGUUACAGGAAGGAGAAGUAGCUGGGACCAUUUCUGCUGUCGCACAGGCUGCGUUCUCUGACCACAAUGUCCAGUACCAAUUUCGCACAGACAAUAAUGGCGGGCAGGUAAAGACUAU